RNAcentral lists this unclassified non-coding RNA (380 nucleotides) under soil metagenome. RNAcentral describes it as "partial contains 5.8S ribosomal RNA, internal transcribed spacer 2, and large subunit ribosomal RNA". The stretch from base 1 to 120 matches the Rfam family "5.8S ribosomal RNA", at positions 35 to 154 of the family's 154-position model. The record is from RNAcentral.
GAUGAAGAACGUAGUGAAAUGCGAUAAGUAAUGUGAAUUGCAGAAUACAGUGAAUCAUCGAAUCUUUGAACGCACCUUGCACCCUUUGGCAUUCUGAAGGGUAUGCUCGUUUGAGUGUCAUUGUACUCUCACACUCCCGAUCUUUGCAUUGGGAGCAGUGGACUUGGGUUUGCUGCUUCACCGUCGCUUACCUCAAAUAGGUUAAUGCAACUCUUGGUUGGACAUAGUACGGCGUGAUAAGUGUUCUUCGCCGGUGCCUCGCAAAGAGGGUGGCCGAUCGGGAUGUUGUGCUCCAAACCGUCUUCGGACAAUCUCUGACGACUUGACCUCAAAUCGAGUAAGACUACCCGCUGAACUUAAGCAUAUCAAUAAGCGGAGGA